UACAGAGGUCUCAAGCGUUGUCCGGAUUCAUUGGGCGUAAAGGGUGCGUAGGCGGCGCUGUAAGUCGGGUGUGAAAUUUCGAGGCUUAACCUCGAAACUGCAUUCGAUACUGCGGUGCUUGAGGACUGGAGAGGAGACUGGAAUUCAUGGUGUAGCAGUGAAAUGCGUAGAGAUCAUGAGGAAGACCAGUGGCGAAGGCGGGUCUCUGGACAGUUCCUGACACUGAGGCACGAAGGCCAGGGGAGCAAACGGG
This 253-nucleotide ribosomal RNA is filed under the name uncultured bacterium. RNAcentral describes it as "partial 16S ribosomal RNA". It matches the Rfam family "Bacterial small subunit ribosomal RNA", at positions 524 to 776 of the family's 1533-position model. The record is from RNAcentral.